UUUUUUUUUUUUUUUUUUUUUUUUGAGAAGAGCCAGCCUUUUGAGAGAGCAUAUGACUCUUCCUGGACUACAACAGCUUCUUGUGUGAAUCACAGCCCGGCUUUUGCCAGUUAGUCUGAGUAGAUAACUACCCACCCCCACUCCCCCAAGCUGAUAAUUAUUACCCUGGUUUAUCCUCUGUCUCAUUUCCCCUCUCAAGCUGUUAGAGAAUGAAUACUGAAUACUGUGGUGCACUGCUCCAUGGAUAUAAAUGUAACAGCAGUAAUAUUUACAACCAAUGUCUAAUUGGCUGUAGCUUGCUUUCAGUGUUCAGUCUAAACCAUAGGACUAUAUAUUUGUCUUAGCAUAAUGCCGAACAUGCAAGUCUGCUUAAACUAUAGUCUUAAGAUUUGUGUGUUUUGGGUUUCCUCUACUUCCUCUAUUUCCUGUCUUUUUUGGGUUAUAGGUCAGAUGGGUUCUACUUUUUAUUCCCAUUUCAGACUGUGGAGAGCUUCUAAAAAUACCAGUGUCCAUCCCUGCCCCUAGGAUCUAGUUAAUUUUUAAAAGCUCUCUGUGUUUCAAAUUUGCAUGUGUUUCUGUAUGUUUGCAGUAUCUCCGUGUGUUUUCAAAUCUUCUGAUGGAGCACUUCGUGUACUUUAACCCUUGGUCUUUCCAUUGCCUGUCCCAUUUUUAAAUUCCCUUUUUAGUCUUAAUAGCUGCUUGAGUUAGGACCUCUGGAAGCAAAAGUGGGAUAGGAUGCUGACGGGGAAUUGUAGGCUUGAUGGAAGAGGAUGUUUCUAUAUUAAAUGUCAUGGCAGAUCCAGUUCUAGGCAUACCUUUAAAAUGUAUACACAGGCUGGGCGUGGUAGCUCACUCCUGUAAUCCCAGCAGUUUGGGAGGCCCAGGCAGGCGGAUCACUUGAGGUAGGGAGUUCGAGAACAGCCUGGCCAACAUGGUGAAACCCUGUCUCUACUAAAAAUACAAAGAUUAGCUGGACAUGAUGGUGGGUGCCUGUAGUCCCAGCUGCUUGGGAGGCUGAGGCCGGACAAUCUCCUGAAGCUGGGAGGCGGAGGUUGCAGUUAGAUGAACUGACACACCACUGCACUCCAGCCUGGGAGACAGGGUGACCAAAAAAAAAAAAAGAAAAAA
Molecule: long non-coding RNA, 1128 nt
Filed under: Homo sapiens (human)
Lineage: Eukaryota; Metazoa; Chordata; Mammalia; Primates; Hominidae
Description: novel transcript, sense intronic to RP11-437B10.1and CHD2
Source: RNAcentral